This 253-nucleotide ribosomal RNA is filed under the name uncultured archaeon. RNAcentral's name for it is "partial 16S ribosomal RNA". It matches the Rfam family "Archaeal small subunit ribosomal RNA", at positions 474 to 726 of the family's 1478-position model. The record is from RNAcentral.
CCCCAGCGCCACAAGUGGGAACCACUUUUAUUGGGUCUAAAGCAUCCGUAGCCGGCUUUCUAAAUGCCCUGUGAAAUCGUUGCGCUUAACGUAACGGCGUGCAGGGUAGACUGGAAAGCUAGAGACCGGGAGAAGUACACGAUAUUCUUAGGGGAGCGGUAAAAUGUGAUAAUCCUAAGAGGAUCACCAAUUGCGAAGGCAGUGUACCAGAACGGAUCUGACGGUGAGGGAUGAAAGCUAGGGGAGCGAUCGG